UACGUAGGGUGCAAGCGUUGUCCGGAAUUAUUGGGCGUAAAGAGCUCGUAGGCGGUUUGUCGCGUCUGCUGUGAAAACUCGGGGCUUAACCCCGGGCCUGCAGUGGGUACGGGCAGACUAGAGUGCGGUAGGGGAGACUGGAAUUCCUGGUGUAGCGGUGAAAUGCGCAGAUAUCGGGAGGAACACCUGAGGCGAAGGCGGGCUACUGGGCCGAUACUGACGCUGAUGCGCGAAAGCCAGGGGAGCGAACGGG
Molecule: ribosomal RNA, 253 nt
Filed under: uncultured bacterium
Lineage: Bacteria
Description: partial 16S ribosomal RNA
Rfam family: Bacterial small subunit ribosomal RNA
Source: RNAcentral